Molecule: long non-coding RNA, 2239 nt
Organism: Gasterosteus aculeatus aculeatus (three-spined stickleback)
Lineage: Eukaryota; Metazoa; Chordata; Actinopteri; Perciformes; Gasterosteidae
Source: Ensembl
UAGGCCUUCUCAAUAUAAAAAAUAUGGCAAUAAUUGACUCCUUAUUUACCUGCGCCUUUCUAAGAGAGUCUUCACGCAAUCCUUUCCGUCUCUUGGUCCGUUUAGGUACCGGAAUGUUUCAAUGGAGCUUUAGUGUUAAGGCUCAUUAGUUAGUUUUCAGCUUUUUAGUUUUUAUUGAAGUAUCUAGAUGAUGAUAGGAAUGCUCUUUAAGUUUUAUGUUUGGCGUGGCACUGUACGCGUCGAACGGGGUUCAUGUUUAUAUCUUUGAAAGCAUCAUUUCUGACAGCCCCUGAACGCAACAUCACAGCUCGCUAAUUUGUCCUGAAGUCUUCUCUGACAACAGAACAUCGAUCAUCUCCUCUGUGAACCUCACUGCUGGUGAAUUAUUGCUGACACUGAGCUAAGUGGCCUAGUCUUCCCUGUCUACUCCACUUUGGACGUCUUGGUGAUCUGACAGUAAGUUCCCAGAUGAGUCAAAACACAUAGUAAAGUUGAAGUGAAACACUGAUGCCCAAGACCGACCGUGACUGUGGAAGUGACAUGGACUGUAAAAACAAUCCUGUGACAGUGUAUUGAUGUAAUACUAGCCUCUUACUGUUUUAAUGUCUAUAUCUGGAGAUAUUUCACAGGCAGGAAACAAGUAUUUAACUCAACUCUUAACAUAAUAAUAAAAGCCUGCUAACAUUUUUUUGUCAAAAGCAUCCCAUCAUUUGUUAAAACACAUUUUAUUCUGAAAUAUUUGCAGUAUAGUGUAGGAAAAUGCAAUAACUUUGAAAAAAGUACCGGCCUUUAAUAUUAAGAUUAUUUUUUCUAUUUAUUAAGGAGCUUCUUAACCCGUUAGUUUAAUGUUAAUAUGAAUGUAUAAUAUAUUAUACUGUUUAAUUAUAGUAAUUAUAAGAGAACAAUUAGAAAGAAGUGCUGGCAGUAGCAACAACACUGUGUGCAAACUACUUGUGUGAGAAACACAGGGAGUGUGGUCCGGCCUUGAGGUGUCUUAAUCCAGCCAAAUUAAUAAACGCAUUUAAGAACAACUUUUAAAUAUUAUUACAUGGGUUUAUGAUCUGGUCAUUUAACUAGAAACCUUCAGUGAUCUUUAAGCUUACAGUAGAGGUUACUCAGUUUGUUGUUCGACCUGCUGUCUAAUGCAUGUUUUAUUGUGUCUUACAGGUGUCCUGCUGGCCAGCAUCUCUCCUCUAUCAUAAACGCUCUCUGUCUAUCCUAUACCUUCUAUCCACUCUGUCUCAUUAUUGGAACCUCUAUCUAUCCUAUCACAUCUACCGCUCUGUCUUUGAUAUCCACAACUCUAUCUUUGUAUCCCCCUUCUAUCCACUCUGUCUCAUUAUUGGAACCUCUAUCUAUCCUAUCAAAUCUACCGCUCUGUCUACAAUAUACAAUUCAGGUUACUAAUACCUGAUCUAACCACAUAACGUUGGUUACCCUUUAUUACAACAACCUCACAAGUACCUGAUCCAUCUUUUGAUGAACAAACUCUGCUGAACCACAUUACGUUGGUACCCUUUGUUACAACAACCUCAGGUUACAAGUACCUGUUCUACUAGAUCUACUAUCAGAUUAUCCUCUUUUAAUCUUCUAUCUACACGCAAUAGAAUACGAUUACUAUCUACAAAUUGGGCAAAGCUUUUGGAAUAAACUGAGUCUGUUUUAGUCAGAAUUAGUUUGAACGUAAAAUUGGAAAAAAGGUUAACAGGAUAUUUAUACACAUAGCACGGUUUCUUUAAUUGAAUAUCACUAGAUAUAUUAGCAAAAUUAUUGUUUACUUUAUUUAAAAUCUUUUUCAUAUACACAUACAUUGUUUAAGUGUCCAAGUGUUUUGUUGUUAAACUUUUCAUACUGAAAUAAAAUACAAGCAUCUGUCAGAAUUGGAUUUAUUUGACGUUUCCUGUCUGCAGACCCAACGUUCUUUUGGAGCAUUCAUCUGCCAUCAAACUCACACCACUGUUCCUGGUUUUGAAUAUAAACUAGUAUAACAUAGUAUUCAUAUUGUAUUUAAUAUCUUGGUUUUGUACGACAACAUUUGUGGUUUUGAAACAUCAACAAUGCCAAGGAAGAGUAAGAGGUCACAAGAUCAGAGCCUGCGCUGGCAGCGGCCCAAUGAGAAUCCCUGUGCAACAACGACUGAAGGAGCAGAAUGUGUUGGUCCUGAGAGCAGUGAAGAGGUAAAGAUGUCUGCAGAGUGUAAACGUGUGGAGCAGGAAGGUCAGCCUGAUGCUUCAUGUGC